GCCUGAUCUGCAUCCUCACGGCCCUGCUGCCUCGCCGCCGCCCUGCUGACCCCAUCUACCUCGCCGCCGCCCUGGUCUUCAAAUCGCGGCUGCCCCACUUCAACCUGCCCGUCGCCAGGUCCAGCACACCGUCGCCGCCGGCCGGGAGAGGGACUUGGUGUUGUAAAACUAUUCUGUACGGCGGCGUACAAGCUAGUCAUGCGGGCUGCGGCGGCUAACGACGCUGGUUGACCAUCUCCUGUGCGUGCAGGGCAACAUCGACGCUGGACCAGAUGGACGAGCUGCACUGCCAAACUGGGAGAGGAAUAGACGCUCCAGCAGUAGUGGUAUUCUCUAUGCAAUCAAACAAGAAGCAUUUAGUGUUGUUUCACCGAAUCAAAAGAGACCAAAAUCAGACCACAUAUGAUUGCAGAUUAUGCGUGUGUAUGUGGAGAAGAUAACUGGGUCGAUUGAUUUGAUGUUAAUUUGUUUGCUUCACUCUGUUUAUUUAUGGCUACGACGACGGCGGCGGCACACGAGAUAAGCGGAAGCCGGGUUCGGAGCCACCGACAGUGUCUUCCUUGGAUUCAUUCGUGCAAUAAGGAGGGGACCCGGCCUUCUUCACGUGUCGAGCAACAAGGGUGAUCGAGGAGGAUUACCGUGGCCCGGUGGGUGUCGUGCUCUUCAACCACUUGGAGGUGGACUUCACCGUGAAGCUCGGUGACUACUGCACAGAGAUGAUCAUCCAGGUGAUCGUGCCGUCGGAGGUCGCCGAGGUGGAGGUCCUCGACGCCACCGUCCGGGGGGAGGUCCACUAGCGUCUGAACUCCAAACCUUGGUUGAUACAUUUAGAGAAGUGGUUUGUUUAGGUUGGUGGUGGAAUACUUUCAGUUGAGAUGAUGGUUGUGUUCGUCUGAUGUUAAAUGGGAUGUCGUGAUUUCUUUCAAUUGAGAUGUUGUUCCUUGACAUGA
This is a long non-coding RNA of Triticum dicoccoides, 950 nucleotides long. RefSeq lists it as uncharacterized. Lineage: Eukaryota; Viridiplantae; Streptophyta; Magnoliopsida; Poales; Poaceae. The record is from RefSeq and is a predicted model, not a curated record. The transcript has 5 exons.